Molecule: ribosomal RNA, 305 nt
Filed under: uncultured bacterium
Lineage: Bacteria
Description: partial 16S ribosomal RNA
Rfam family: Bacterial small subunit ribosomal RNA
Source: RNAcentral
ACAGCAGCCGCCGCGAUAAUACGGAGGGUGCAAGCGUUAAUCGGAAUUACUGGGCGUAAAGCGUGCGUAGGCGGUUUGUUAAGUCUGUUGUGAAAGCCCUGGGCUCAACCUGGGAAUGGCAAUGGAUACUGGCGAGCUAGAGUGUGUCAGAGGAUGGUGGAAUUCCCAGUGUAGAGGUGAAAUUCGUAGAUAUUGGGAAGAACACCGGUGGCGAAGGCGGCGACCUGGUCCUUGACUGACGCUGAGGCGCGAAAGCGUGGGGAGCAAACAGGAUUAGAUACCCCGGUAGUCCCUGUCUCUUAUAC